This 525-nucleotide ribosomal RNA is filed under the name Phyllosticta capitalensis. RNAcentral describes it as "eukaryotic LSU rRNA". The stretch from base 218 to 371 matches the Rfam family "5.8S ribosomal RNA". Lineage: Eukaryota; Fungi; Ascomycota; Dothideomycetes; Botryosphaeriales; Phyllostictaceae. The record is from RNAcentral.
CUUCUAUUGAAAGGUUCCAGAGUAGGCGCUACAACGCCGAAAUGACCUUCUCACCCUUGUGUACUCACUAUGUUGCUUUGGCGGGUCGACCUGGUUCCGACCCAGGCGGCCGGCGCCCCCAGCCUUAACUGGCCAGGACGCCCGGCUAAGUGCCCGCCAGUAUACAAAACUCAAGAAUUCAUUUUGUGAAGUCCUGAUAUAUCAUUUAAUUGAUUAAAACUUUCAACAACGGAUCUCUUGGUUCUGGCAUCGAUGAAGAACGCAGCGAAAUGCGAUAAGUAAUGUGAAUUGCAGAAUUCAGUGAAUCAUCGAAUCUUUGAACGCACAUUGCGCCCUCUGGUAUUCCGGAGGGCAUGCCUGUUCGAGCGUCAUUUCAACCCUCAAGCUCUGCUUGGUAUUGGGCAACGUCCGCUGCCGGACGUGCCUUGAAGACCUCGGCGACGGCGUCCUAGCCUCGAGCGUAGUAGUAAAAUAUCUCGCUUUGGAGUGCUGGGCGACGGCCGCCGGACAAUCGACCUUCGGUCU